Alligator sinensis (Chinese alligator) is the source of this 461-nucleotide long non-coding RNA. RefSeq lists it as uncharacterized. The record is from RefSeq and is a predicted model, not a curated record. The transcript is spliced from 4 exons. NCBI's taxonomy places the organism in Eukaryota, Metazoa, Chordata, Crocodylia, Alligatoridae.
AGCAGUUUGCCUGCAUGCAGUUUCAUGUAUUUGCUAUUUACUUCUGCAUGUACCUUUUAGGUGUCUGUGCAUAUACCUGUUAAUCCCAUGGAUCUGCCCAAGGAACAUCCCUUCAGAAGCUCUUUGCCUCUGAAUAACUGCCUGUUCCUCUGCAUCAGCUGAGAAGAUGCAUCUUGCAGGAAUUGCACUACCAAUCACUUCUCCAUUCCCCCUCUACUGGCUCCUGUAUGACAGCUGGUUCCCAUCUUUGAAGAUAAGCCAAAUGGAAAGAACUUCAUUCCUGCACCAGUCAACUGGAAAGAGUCAAACAACUAAAGCAUUUCAUGAAAAGCUCCUACAGGGCAGCCACGGGAAGUGAGAUAUCUUCAACUGGAGAGAGUGAGAACACCCUGCCCUAGGGUACCCUACAACAAAAUAGAUGGAAGAUGUGGAUUCAAAUCCCCUCCAGCACAGAAGAGCUG